GAGGCAAGCGUUAUCCGGAAUUAUUGGGCGUAAAGGGUACGUAGGCGGCUGGUCAAGUCUGGGGUCAAAGGCCACAGCUCAACUGUGGGAAGGCCCUGGAAACUGACCGGCUAGAGUGAGGUAGGGGUUGCGGGAAUUCCCGGUGUAGCGGUGAAAUGCGUAGAGAUCGGGAAGAACACCUGAGGCGGAAGCGCGCAACUGGGCCUCAACUGACGCUGAGGUACGAAAGCUAGGGGAGCGAAUGGGAUUAGAUACCCCAGUAGUCCUAGCCGUAAACGAUGGACACUAGACGUUGGCCGUAUCGACCCGGUCAGUGUCGGAGCUAACGCGUUAAGUGUCCCGCCUGGGGAGUACGCACGCAAGUGUGAAACUCAAAGGAAUUGACGGGG
Molecule: ribosomal RNA, 389 nt
Filed under: Synechococcus sp. 369
Lineage: Bacteria; Bacillati; Cyanobacteriota; Cyanophyceae; Synechococcales; Synechococcaceae
Also listed under: 5 other names
Description: bacterial SSU rRNA
Rfam family: Bacterial small subunit ribosomal RNA
Source: RNAcentral